This is a long non-coding RNA of Panthera uncia (snow leopard), 902 nucleotides long. RefSeq lists it as uncharacterized. NCBI's taxonomy places the organism in Eukaryota, Metazoa, Chordata, Mammalia, Carnivora, Felidae. The transcript has 4 exons. The record is from RefSeq and is a predicted model, not a curated record.
GAUAUAGUUCCAGCAGGAGCCUGGAGAGAGUAAAGAAAGAGAACAAAGGAGGGAGAUGUUUGGAGUUCAGCAAAAGCACAUGACUCCAAGCUGGUGUUCUGACAUUAUCCAGGUGGCUCACUAAUUUACUAGUCAACGUGACUGAACGGAGUCAGCCUUGAACGAGAGAAUGGGGAUGUGUGACUCUCCUGGAAGCCUGGAGAGGGGAUUUGCCUCACAGAAGCCAGAAGAGCCUACUGCUUAACUCCCUGCUCUAACUCAGAGUCCAGGAGUUACUAAAACUUCUCUAUCUGAAGAGGUGGGGAAAGCUGGGUCAAGAGCUCCUUGAGUUAUCUCAGUGACUGCUGCCAUCAAGAGGAAGUACAAAAAAGGUGGAAGCAGAAAUUCAAAUGUUGAAACAGCUAUCCAAUAGAAAUAUAAGGUGGAUCUAUCUUAUAAAGAGCCAUCUUGUCCACUCUGGUUAGCUGGAUAACGUCCCUCAAAGAUAUCCAGGCCCUAAUCCUUGUAAUCAGUGAAUGCUACCUUAUACAGAAAAAGGGUCUUUGCAGUUAUAAUUAAAUCAAGGGCCUGGAGAAGGGUCCUUCUGGAUUAUCUAGGCAAGCUCUAGAGGUCGUCGCAAGAGCUUAACAGGGAGGCAGAGGGAGAUUUGACUAUAGAGAAGAAAGCCAUGUGAUGCUGGAGCAGAGAAAAAUUUGAAGAUUUAUGCUCCUGGCUUUGAAGAUAAAGCAAGGGGCCAUGAGCCACGGAACACAGCUCUGGAAGCUGGAAACAGCAACUCUUCCCUAGAUCCUCUCAAGGGACAAGGUCUUGCCAACACCUUGAGUUCAGCCCAGUGAAACAGAUUUUGGACUUCUACCUCUCCAACUGUGUAAGAAUCAAUAUAUGUUCUUUUAAACCAACAA